This 1217-nucleotide ribosomal RNA is filed under the name uncultured Rhizaria. RNAcentral's name for it is "SSU rRNA". It matches the Rfam family "Eukaryotic small subunit ribosomal RNA", at positions 577 to 1804 of the family's 1831-position model. The record is from RNAcentral.
CGGUAAUUCCAGCUCCAAUAGCGUAUACUAAAGUUGUUGCAGUUAAAAAGCUCGUAGUUGGAUUUCUGCGGGGACGGAGCGGCCGGUCGCAACUUGCGACUCGAGCUAGCGCUUUCCCCGCAUCCUGCCGCGAACCGUGCUACCAUUAGUUUGGUGGCGCUGGGGAUCGGCUCGAUUACUUUGAGAAAAAUAGAGUGUUCAAAGCAGGCCACACGCCUUGAAUAAGUUAGCAUGGAAUAAUGACUAAGGACUUCGGUUCUAUUUUGUUGGUGUUCGGGACUGAAGUAAUGAUUGAUAGGGACAGUUGGGGCGGUCUGUAUUCCAAAGCGAGAGGUGAAAUUCUUAGACCUUCGGAAGACAAACAGCUGCGAAAGCGUUCCGCAAGGAUGUUCCCUUUGAUCAAGAACGAAAGUUGGGGGAUCGAAGACGAUCAGAUACCGUCGUAGUCUCAACUAUAAACUAUACCAGCUAGGGAUCGGUCAACGUUUAAUUAUUCGACUUGAUCGGCACCUUAUGAGAAAUCAAAGCAUCUGGGUUCCGGGGGGAGUAUGGUCGCAAGGCUGAAACUUAAAGGAAUUGACGGAAGGGCACCACCAGCCGUGGAGCCUGUGGCUUAAUUUGACUCAACACGGGAAAACUUACCAGGUCCAGACAUAGUAAGGAUUGACAGAUUGAUAGCUCUUUCUUGAUUCUGUGGGUGGUGGUGCAUGGCCGUUCUUAGUUGGUGGAGUGAUUUGUCUGGUUAAUUCCGUUAACGAACGAGACCCCAGCCUGCUAAAUAGCGCGGCUGAGCUUUGCUCGGUGCGAGCUUCUUAGAGGGACUAUGAUGCGCGAUAGCACAUGGAAGUUUGGGGCAAUACCAGGUCUGUGAUGCCCUUAGAUGUUCUGGUCCGCACACGGGCUACACUGGCGCCUGCAACGAGCAUAUCAGCUGGCCCGAGAGGGUCUUGGCUAAUCUUUUGAACCGGCGCCGUGCUUGGGAUUGACCUUUGCAAUUGUUGGUCAUGCAACGAGGAAUGCCUUGUAAACGCGAGUCAUCAGCUCGCAUUGAAUACGUCCCUGCCCUUUGUACACACCGCCCGUCGCUCCUACCGAUGAAUGUUCCGAUGAAAUUUUCGGAGAGCGCCAGAGAACGGGGCUCCGCCUUGCAGAUCUGGAGGCUCAAAGUCACUUAAAUCUGAACAUUUCGAGGAAGGAGAAGUCGUAACAAGGUAACC